GCAUUCAUAGCUCAAUGGAUAGAGCAACAGCCUUCUAAGCUGUAAGUUGUGAGUUCGAGUCUCACUGGAUGCA
RNAcentral lists this transfer RNA (73 nucleotides) under Crassvirales sp. Its description in RNAcentral is "tRNA-Arg". It matches the Rfam family "tRNA". From Rfam's summary of the family: Transfer RNA (tRNA) molecules are approximately 80 nucleotides in length. Their secondary structure includes four short double-helical elements and three loops (D, anti-codon, and T loops). The record is from RNAcentral. Lineage: Duplodnaviria; Heunggongvirae; Uroviricota; Caudoviricetes; Crassvirales.